UUUGAGCCUCCGCUCCGGCUUUUCCCCUCCGUGGUGAACCGGUGGAUUUCUCCCUGAGGAGAGCGAACGUUUCGCUUCAGUCCGACGUGUUUCCGGAGCAAACCGUUUCUGAAACAAAACCCGCAGCUCCUUGACUUGAAAGCCGUCUGCAGGCAGCAUCCGUAACCAUGGAUACGGCCGCUUCUUCCUCUCCGGCUCUGUGAUCGUCACUUUUGGAUGUUUUUUGAAGUUUGCUUCGGAGCAGAUCCCUUUAGAGAGCGAGGAUGAUGAUGUGGAGGCAUUUUAAUUUAAAAUAAAUGUUCUAAUUAGAACUGCUGUGAUUCUGGACGGAUGGCUGAGCAGACGCUAUCGCUAAUUUCGUCUGCUUCCAGACCGCUGGGAUAUUUCUGUUGCGCCUUCUUAAAAAUGUGUCUAAAGUUAAAACCUUGAAAAUGUUUUAAAUUCAUUAAAAAUAAAGUUGGCAUUAAAUAAGUUGAUCACAAGUCUUAAAUCUUUCUGUGGCAGGACUUUUUAUGAAGUUUAUUUUUCACGUGAAACUUUUCUGUCAGGCAAAGUUUGAGUCACCUACAGACAUCUGCAUUACGUUCUGGCAGGCGGUUUAGGCUACCGUUAACAAGCUGCUAAUAUCCUUGCUGGCUUCAUUUCGAGUUUAUUUCUGUCGCACAUUUCGACAACAAGGCAGUCCAAAGUCCAUCUUACAAACGCCAACCUAUCACAGACUUUAAGACUGAGAGCUGAGAUGAAUCUGGAGGACACCCACGCAGCAGCAGCAGCAGCUUCGUCUCAGAGGAGGAGCAGGAAGUGAAAACGGAGCAAACAUGGAGGCUGAGUGACGGAAACAAGAUGAGCUUCACUUUCACUGCAGAUCCACCAUCAUCAAUACGAAAUAUCCAAUCAGAUAAAAUGUAAAGUCUGAAUAGUGAAACCAGAAAACAACUUCCUUCAAACCCUUCACAAUAAAAGCCUCAAACCGUUUA
Xiphophorus couchianus (Monterrey platyfish) is the source of this 977-nucleotide long non-coding RNA. RefSeq lists it as uncharacterized. Lineage: Eukaryota; Metazoa; Chordata; Actinopteri; Cyprinodontiformes; Poeciliidae. The record is from RefSeq and is a predicted model, not a curated record. The transcript has 3 exons.